CAAGGUUUCCGUAGGUGAACCUGCGGAAGGAUCAUUACCGAGUUGAUUCGGGCUCCGGCCCGAUCCUCCCACCCUUUGUGUACCCACCUCUGUUGCUUUGGCGGGCCGCGGUCCUCCGCGGCCGCCCUCCGUCCGGGGGGUGGCCAGCGCCCGCCAGAGGACCAUCAAACUCCGGUCAGUGAACGUUGCCGUCUGAAAAACAAUCAAUAAACUAAAACUUUCAACAACGGAUCUCUUGGUUCUGGCAUCGAUGAAGAACGCAGCGAAAUGCGAUAAGUAAUGUGAAUUGCAGAAUUCAGUGAAUCAUCGAAUCUUUGAACGCACAUUGCGCCCCUCGGUAUUCCGAGGGGCAUGCCUGUUCGAGCGUCAUUACAACCCUCAAGCUCUGCUUGGUGUUGGGCACCGCCCUUCCGCGGGCGCGCCUCGAAGACCUCGGCGGUGGCGUCUUGCCUCGAGCGUAGUAGAAAACACCUCGCUUUGGAGCGCACGGCGCCGCCCGCCGGACGAACCUUUUGAACUUUCUCAAGGUUGACCUCGGAUCAGGUAGGGAUACCCGCUGAACUUAAGCA
RNAcentral lists this ribosomal RNA (569 nucleotides) under Neoscytalidium dimidiatum. RNAcentral describes it as "eukaryotic LSU rRNA". The stretch from base 216 to 369 matches the Rfam family "5.8S ribosomal RNA". The record is from RNAcentral. Lineage: Eukaryota; Fungi; Ascomycota; Dothideomycetes; Botryosphaeriales; Botryosphaeriaceae.